UACGUAGGGACCGAGCGUUGUCCGGAAUUAUUGGGCGUAAAGAGCUCGUAGGCGGCUUGUCACGUCGGGUGUGAAAGCCCGGGGCUUAACCCCGGGUCUGCAUUCGAUACGGGCUAGCUAGAGUGUGGUAGGGGAGAUCGGAAUUCCUGGUGUAGCGGUGAAAUGCGCAGAUAUCAGGAGGAACACCGGUGGCGAAGGCGGGUCUCUGGGCCGAUACUGACGCUGAGGAGCGAAAGCGUGGGGAGCAAACAGG
RNAcentral lists this ribosomal RNA (253 nucleotides) under uncultured bacterium. RNAcentral's name for it is "partial 16S ribosomal RNA". It matches the Rfam family "Bacterial small subunit ribosomal RNA", at positions 524 to 776 of the family's 1533-position model. The record is from RNAcentral.